RNAcentral lists this ribosomal RNA (257 nucleotides) under uncultured bacterium. RNAcentral's name for it is "partial 16S ribosomal RNA". It matches the Rfam family "Bacterial small subunit ribosomal RNA", at positions 521 to 776 of the family's 1533-position model. The record is from RNAcentral.
UAAUACGUAGGGGGCAAGCGUUGUCCGGAAUCAUUGGGCGUAAAGAGCUCGUAGGCGGUUCAGUAAGUCGGGUGUGAAAGCUCCGAGCUCAACUCGGAGAGGCCACUCGAUACUGCUGUGACUAGAAUCCAGUAGGGGAGUGUGGAAUUCCUGGUGUAGCGGUGAAAUGCGCAGAUAUCAGGAGGAACACCAGCGGCGAAGGCGGCACUCUGGGCUGGUAUUGACGCUGAGGAGCGAAAGUGUGGGUAGCAAACAGG